CUUACAUUGUCAUACGACUUCCGUAUAGGUGCAGGAAUCGGCCUGCAUGUCUCUACCCGAUCACCGGAAUGAUUGGACUACGGAUUAGCCAUAUCAUGUC
This 100-nucleotide non-coding RNA is filed under the name Paenibacillus sp. RNAcentral describes it as "Guanine sequence". It matches the Rfam family "Purine riboswitch aptamer". Rfam says of the family: Riboswitches are metabolite binding domains within certain messenger RNAs that serve as precision sensors for their corresponding targets. Allosteric rearrangement of mRNA structure is mediated by ligand binding, and this results in modulation of gene expression. Lineage: Bacteria; Bacillati; Bacillota; Bacilli; Caryophanales; Paenibacillaceae. RNAcentral also lists the same sequence under 1 other name. The record is from RNAcentral.